GUUGCUAAGAGACCUUAAAAGUUCUUAUCACAAGAAAAACAAAUUUUAUAAGUAUCUAUAAUUUCACAAUAUACAAAUAAUGAAUGUUACACGCUUGAAAUGAAUAUUAUAGCUAUCAUAUCUUAAUUUAAAAAAAGGAAAAAUAAAGAAUAAUAGGUCAUGACCAAGCUGAGUUUGUUUCUGGAACACAGGAAAUUUCAAUAUUAGUAAAUCUAUUAAUAUAGUCUAUUAUAUUAAUAAAUCAAAUAUAAAAACCAAGCAGUUGCUUCUAUUUUUGUUGAGGAUGUGGUUGAUAAAAUGCAACCUAUUCUUGAUAAAAACACUUAUUAGAACAGGAAUCAAUGGAUAUUUCCUCAACAUAAAUUUUUUAGUCCAAAGCCAUUAUCUUAACAGGGAAACACAGAAGGUUGGCCAAACAAAGUGAGAAAAAGAAGCUAAUAUUUAACAUCAUAUUAGAUAUAUCAACCAAAGCAAUUAGACAAGAAAAAGCAAUGUGAGGUAUAAUGAUUAGAGGAAAAACCAUUUUUGUUUGCAGAUAAGAUGUAUGUAAUCCUAGGGGAAAAAAUUCAAGAGAACCAACUGAAAUAUUACUAUAAAUAAUAGGGGGAUUCAGUAUGAUCAUAAAGAUUCAUAAGCUGAAAACAAUAAUCUACCACAAACAAAUACCAGUAAGAUACACUGUAAGAGAAAAUCCCAUUUAUAAUAAUAACAAAAAGAUGAAAUACCUAGGGACAAGCUUAAAAAAGAUAUGGGUAAGACCUAUAUGAUUAAAAUGUUAUGAUUCUUGACAAACAUAAAACUGAAACUGAACAUAAAGAUACAUCAUGUUCUUAGGUGCAAAGAACAGUUUUCACAAACACGUCAAUACUCCCUAACUUAAGUAAUAAAUUUAAUGUAAUCUUCCCUCCAUCCUCUUCCCUACCCCCCACCAAAAAAGAAAAACCGAAAAAUUUCUGGAACUAGAUGAUUCUAAAGCUUAUAUGGAAAAAGACACAAGAAUACCAGGAAAACAACAACAAAAUAGUAAUGAGGGGAGAUGAGCCCUACUCAGUAAUAAAACAUGCUAUAAAUCUUCUAAUUAAAAAAGUAUAUAAUAGGCACAUGUAUAGACAGAGAUAAAUGGAACAGGAUAAAAAAUGUGCCAAAUGAGACAGAAAUAAUGCAGGAAUUUAGUGUAUGAUAAAGGUGGCAACACAAAUCUCUGAAAUAAAGACCAUCAACUUUUUUCCAGUAUUGGACAAUAAUCCUCUAGAAAAAAUGAGCAAAGGAUAAAAAUAAGCAGUUGAAAAACAGAAUUACAAAUGUCCCUGAAACAUAUGACCAGAUUCUCAACUCCAUUCAUGUUACAGGUUGAACUGUGUUUCUCCAAAAUUCAUAUGAUGGAACCCUAACCUGCAGGACUUCAGAAUGUGACCUUAUUUGGAGACAGUCUUUGCAGAAGUAAUAAGGUUAAAAUGACAUCACCAGGGUAGACCCUAAUCCAACAUGACUAGUGUCCUUGUAGGAUGAGGAAAUCUGCCCAGAGACAUAUACAGAGAGAAGACAAUGUGAAGAGACGCAGCGAGAAAGUGGCUACCUACAAGUCAAGAGAAGGCCUGGGACAGAUCCUCCCUCACUGCCCUCAGGAAGGAACCAACUCUAAAGACACUUUGAUCUUGGACUUCAAGCUUCUAGAACAGUGCUCUAACAGUUGUCGUAUCUCAGUGUCAUACUCCACCCAUUCUGGGACAAUCCUGGCAGCAGCUUUUAGCUUAGGUUCUUUUGUUUUGGGAUUAUUGCACUAAAAGUUUAAAUAAAAUUUAGUUAAUGAAAAAUGA
Neofelis nebulosa (Clouded leopard) is the source of this 1817-nucleotide long non-coding RNA. RefSeq lists it as uncharacterized. The record is from RefSeq and is a predicted model, not a curated record. The transcript has 2 exons. Lineage: Eukaryota; Metazoa; Chordata; Mammalia; Carnivora; Felidae.